AAAAUGCUCGCUCGUAUAGUGUUCUUCCUCUACUUUUUUCUCCUCUUUUUCCUCGCUCUUACCUCACUCUCUCUAUCACUUUACUCUGCUUUUCCCACGCUUUCAUCAUACACUCUCUCUCUCUUUCCCUUUGGGUUUCUGUUCCCGGAUUUUUAAACCCUAAAUACAGGCAAUGCUGUUUUUGUUUUUGUCUUUCAAUGGCUUCUGUUUCUGUUUCUGUCUUCGCUAGAUCUACUUCAUUGUCCCGUUGGUUAACCCUUUUCUCAAUUUUUUAGCUUUCAGUCUUCUCUCUUUCUUAUGCCAUUUCACACUGUUUGCACUUAGAUCGAGAGCGUGGCGGCUUGGAUUCUUGCUAAACAACCUGCAUUUUGUGUUAGAUCCAAGUAUGAUCUUCUAAAUGCACGUAUAAAUGUUGCGCCUUUGAGAGAGAGCUCUGUUAAUUGUCUUCCUGUUUGAGAUUGCCACUUGUGCUUGAUUUAUGAGCACAAGUUCUUUAACUUACAAUGGAGGAAACGUUAGUGCCAUCUGUUGAAGAGCCAGUGAAUGAGGUUCAAACUUCAGUGAAACAGUCCUCUGUUAGUUCAGUGGAGACAAUGAAAAAGGUUACAAAAACCACGAAACUUACAGUAGCUGCAACCUCAAGCCUUUUAGCUCCAACUGGUUCUAUCAGAAAGAGAACUGAACCAAAAAGCAGUUCAGAUUCAAGUUCAAAAGUGACCAAACCAAAUUUAACUGCUUCAUCUCGUAAUUUAAAUUCAGUUCCAGUGGCAAGAAGAAAUAGUACUGGAGGAAUGCCUGAGAAAUCAUCUACAAUAAAACGGCAAAAUAGUGUUACUAAUGUUGCAGGCAAAAGAACUACUGCUGCAUCAGACCCAGUUAGGCAGUCUCUUCCAGAGCUUAGAAGGAGUUCCUUGCCUUCAGUUGCUGCAAAACCUGCAACUCGAACAAGUGUUUCAGAGGUUAGGAAGUCGCUUCCUGUGUCAACUAUGGAUAAGAGUUUAAGAUCAUCAACAGGCUCUGAUGUAAGCAAGUCAGGGAGUGCCAAGAAACCUUCAGUUAAGCCAUCAUUGCCAUUCUCUUCCUCCUCAAAAAGGCAUUCUUCGACAUCAUUGGACAGUACUGGCAGUAGUGUGAGCAGGAAGACAGUUUCAAAGGUUUCUUCACCAUCAGCUGGCUCACCUUCAGUUUCUAGUGGAUUCAGAACUGGGUCGUUGUCGACAUCUCUGGAUAGAAGUUCUAAUUUGUCUGGACGGAGGAGAAUGGGCACUCCUGAAAGCCGAGAUUCUCGUUUCAUUGUUCUUCCACAGGUGGAGAUUAAAGCUGGUGAUGAUGUGAGAUUGGAUCUUAGGGGUCACAGAGUUCGUAGUCUUAAUGCUAGUGGGUUGAACUUGUCGCCAAAUUUAGAGUUUGUCUAUCUGAGGGACAAUCUCUUAUCUACAUUGGAAGGAAUUGAGAUACUGAAGCGGGUGAAGGUCCUUGAUUUGAGUUUCAAUGAGUUUAAGGGGCCUGGGUUUGAGCCUCUUGAGAAUUGCAAGGCUCUGCAGCAACUUUAUCUUGCUGGUAAUCAAAUCACAUCACUUGUAACUCUUCCUCAGCUUCCUAAUCUGGAGUUUCUCUCUGUUGCUCAAAAUAAAUUAAAGUCACUUUCAAUGGCAAGUCAACCUCGACUACAGGUAUUAGCUGCCAGCAAAAAUAAAAUAACAACUCUAAAGGGUUUCCCACAUCUACCUGUCCUUGAGCAUUUACGUGUUGAGGAGAAUCCUAUACUUAAGAUGCCCCAUUUAGAAGCAGCAUCCAUUUUGCUUGUUGGUUCUACACUGAAAAAGUUUAAUGAUAGAGAUCUUUCUCGGGAAGAGGUGGCAAUUGCAAAGCGUUAUCCACCUUGCACAGCCUUGUGCAUUAGAGAUGGUUGGGAGUUUUGUCGUCCUGAGAAUGCAGCAGACUCAACUUUACGCUUUCUUUUUGAGCAAUGGGAAGAUCAUUUCCCCCCAGGCUAUCUGCUCAAGGAUGUCUCUGUCGAUCAACCUUUUGAAGAAGAUGCUUGUCGCUGCCACUUUUUUUUUGUCCAAGACAGCACUGUGAGCAUUGAUCCACAACUUGUGUUAAGAUUUCAAUGGUUUGUGGGAGAGAGAACACUUUCAAAUUUUGUUGCUAUUCCUGAUGCCACUGGAGAGGUCUACUGGCCAAAGCAUGAAGACAUUGGUAAAUUUCUAAAGGUGGAAUGCACUCCUAUGCUAGGAGAGACGCAGUAUCCCACAGUUUUUGCCAUAUCUUCACCAGUUUCCCGGGGAAGUGGAAUUCCAAAGGUUGUGAACCUUGAAGUGCGUGGGGAUUUAGUGGAAGGAAAUGUCAUCGGAGGCUAUGCUGAGGUUGCAUGGUGUGGUGGAACUCCUGGAAAAGGUGUUGCCAGUUGGUUGAGGAGAAGAUGGAAUGGUAGCCCUGUUGUUAUUGCUGGUGCAGAAGAUGAGGAGUAUCGACUGACUUUAGAUGACAUUGAUUCAAGUUUGGUCUUCAUGUACACACCAGUCACAGAGGAAGGUGUCAAAGGGGAACCUCAGUAUAAGUAUACUGAUUUUGUUAAGGCAGCUCCUCCAUCGGUUAGUAAUGUCCAAAUUGUUGGAGAUGUUGUUGAAGGAUGUAUCAUAAAAGGAGUUGGGGAGUACUUUGGGGGAAGAGAAGGUCCCAGCAAGUUUGAAUGGUUACGUGAGAAUAAGGAAAAUGGGUUAGUGUGCUCAUGUAUUGCAUGCUGUAAUAGCCUCUUGGAUAAAAGAAAUAGACCAACUUAUUUUCUAGAUGCGGUUUCUUUUUCCCCCUUGAUUUCUUUAAUCUUUAGAAGUUAUAUCUCCCUCUAAUUUGAUAUAAAUUAUUUUAUAAUUGAGGCCUUUUGUUUCUUUGCUAUCUUUUAGUCUGCUAUGAUUAAAGACUUUAUGCUCAUUUCUAUGUAAAUUUUAAUUUCCACACAACUAUUGCCUUGUUUUGAUCUUCUUGGCUUCUUUUAGCAGAGAUUUUCUAUUGGUAUCAAUGGGUACAUCUGAGUAUACUUUGACUAAGGAAGAUGUAGGCCGGCACAUAGCUUUUGUUUAUAUACCCAUUAAUUUUGAAGGGCAGGAAGGGGAAUCUGUAUCAGUAAUGUCUUCUGUGGUGAAGCAAGCACCUCCAAAAGUAACAAAUGUUAAGAUAAUUGGUGAUAUAAGGGAAAACAACAAGGUUACUGUAACUGGUACUGUUACGGGGGGAACUGAAGGUUCUAGCAGAGUUCAGUGGUUUCAAACAAGUUCUUCAACAUUGGACAGUGAGAAUGGUCUUGAAGCAGUGAGUGCUUCCAAAAUUGCGAAGGCAUUUCGCAUCCCUUUAGGAGCAGUUGGCUAUUACAUUGUUGCGAAAUAUACACCUAUGACUCCAGAUGGCGAAUCUGGUGAACCGGUAUAUGCUGUAUCUGAAAGAGCAGUUGAAACUCUUCCCCCAAGCCUAAAUUUUUUGUCUAUUACUGGGGAUUAUGCUGAAGGAGGCAUGUUGACCGCAUCAUAUGGCUAUAUAGGGGGUCAUGAGGGAAAAAGUGUGUAUAAUUGGUAUCUUCACGAGGCUGAAACAGACUCUGGUACUUUGAUACCUGAGGGUUCAGGAGUUCUUCAAUAUCGUAUUACCAGAGAUGCAAUUGGUAAAUUCAUAUCCUUCCAAUGUGUCCCUGUGCGUGAUGAUGGGAUUGUAGGUGAGCCAAGGACUUGCAUGGGACAGGAAAGGGUUCGACCUGGAAGUCCGAGGUUGCUCUCUCUACAAAUAAUUGGAAUUGCUGUUGAAGGAACUCAAUUAAGUGUGGACAAGAAGUAUUGGGGAGGUGAAGAAGGAGAUUCAGUUUUCCGUUGGUUUCGGACUAGUUCAGAUGGCACUCAAAGUGAAAUUCGUGAUGCUACUGCUAUGUCAUACGAGCUUUCAAUUGAUGAUAUUGGAUUCCUUAUUUCGGUCUCAUGUGAGCCUGUCAGAAGUGAUUGGGCUCGUGGUCCUAUUGUUGUUUCUGAACAAAUUGGACCUAUCAUACCUGGCCCUCCAACUUGUCAGUCCUUAGAGUUUCUAGGGUCAAUGAUGGAAGGACAACGUCUAAGCUUUGUUGCUUCUUACAGUGGAGGGGAGAGAGGAAAUUGUUUCCAUGAAUGGUUUAGAGUGAGAAGUGAUGGCGUUAGGGACAAACUAAGCGCUAAUGAGUUUCUGGAUUUGACUUUAGAGGAUGUUGGAAAAUGCAUUGAACUUGUUUAUACUCCAAUGCGCAAGGAUGGUGUGACAGGAAAUCCUUGGAGCAUAAAAUCCCAUGUGAUUGCACCAGCGGAUCCUGUGGGGUUGGAACUUGUGAUUACCAAUUGUUUUGAGGACAAGGAAGUGAUCCCACAAAAGACGUACUUUGGUGGACGGGAAGGUGUUGGAGAGUAUAUUUGGUACAGAACAAAAGAUAAGUUACAUGGUUCUGCAUUGAUGGAUAUAAGUAAUGACUGUGAGGAUGUUCUCAUAUGUAGCAAAACAUUUACAUACACUCCAUCCCUUGAAGAUGUGGGUUCUUACUUGGCCUUAUAUUGGCUGCCCACUCGUGCAGAUGGAAAAUGUGGAAAACCGUUAGUUGCAAUCUCCAACUCUCCAGUUAACCCAGCUCUUCCGGUUGUUUCUUUUGUUCAAGUGAAAGAGUUGCAUUCUGGUGUUUAUUCUGGAGAGGGAAAAUACUUUGGUGGGUAUGAGGGGGCAAGCCUAUUCAGCUGGUAUAGAGAAACUAGUGACGGUACUAUCAGUCUUAUUAAUGGUGCUAACUCUAUAACUUACGCAGUCACGGAUUUGGAUUACAAUUGCCGCUUGUUGUUUGGGUACACACCAGUUCGUUCAGAUUCAGUUGUGGGAGAACUCAAAUUGUCUGAGUCAACUGACAUAAUUCUCCCAGAGCUUCCAAUAGUGGAAAUGCUUGCUUUGACUGGAAAGGCGAUAGAAGGUGAUGUACUCACUGCUGUUGAAGUAAUACCAAAGAGUGCAAUGCAACAAUUAGUUUGGAGCAAGUACAAGAAGGAUGUCAAAUAUCAAUGGUUCUUUUCAUCAGUAGUAGGGGACAGAGAUUCCUUUGAGCCUCUACCUUCACAGCAUUCCUGCUCUUACAAGGUGCGACUAGAGGACAUUGGUAGAUGCUUGAGAUGUGAAUGCAUUGUGACUGAUGUGUUUGGAAGGUCAAGUGAGCCAGCAUAUGCUGAGACUGCUGCUGUAUUGCCAGGUCUUCUAUUACACGCAACAAGUUGAAUUGAGAACUAUCCUUUCCUCAAUUAAUUGGACAAUUAUCUUUCGCUCACCAUUGAUUUGAUUUAGAAUUUUGUACUACUGUUAAAUGAGCUAAAUUUGAAUGUCCAGCUUUUAGUUAUUUCUAUUGGAAAUAUUCUAGAUUUUUCAAAUGUGCUUGUCUUCAUUACUCUUGAUGUAGUUUCUUGAGAUUUGGCUAGUUAUUGUGUCUAUUUCCAAAUUGAGUAGAAACCUCAAAUUUUGCAAGCAUGCAUUUUUAUUCUUCCAUAUUUCAUUGUCAUAAUUUCUAUAAGUGUUAUAUCAAUGAUAUUUUGUAUCUCUGUUUUUUCUACUUAAAAUAAAAUCGUUUUAACUCUAUGAAUCAUCCAUGCCAGUGGAAAGAUUUUACUGGCAAGUGCUUUUUUUGCUUUUCCGUUUGAUUUUGUUUUUUCCUUCUUGUUGCUGGUAGCCAGGUUCUCUUCAUGGAUUAUUUGAGUGACAUGUAAAUUUGAUACUAUUUGGGGGUUUAAAACUAUCUUUAUUGUUUGAGGUAUUUUGGCAUUUUUCUUUUCCUCUAUAAGUUGACUUGAUUUCUCAACUACUGCUGCUGUUAUGCUUGUUUUCUGAAUACCAGAUGCUUAAUAGUAUUAUUAGUUCUUAAUUGUAUUGGGAAGUACAUGCCUUCUAUAAACCUGUUCCAUAUUUUAGUAAUUAAUAAUCAUUUUAUCUUUUAGGGAUUCCUCGUAUAGAUAAAGUGGAGAUUGAAGGGAGGGGUUUUCACACAAACUUAUAUGCUGUUCGAGGCAUUUAUAGUGGAGGAAAGGAGGGCAAAAGUAGAAUACAAUGGCUUAGAUCAAUGGUUGGUAGUCCUGAUCUGAUUUCCAUACCAGG
Molecule: unclassified non-coding RNA, 6132 nt
Filed under: Hevea brasiliensis (rubber tree)
Lineage: Eukaryota; Viridiplantae; Streptophyta; Magnoliopsida; Malpighiales; Euphorbiaceae
Source: RNAcentral